UACAGAGGGUGCAAGCGUUAAUCGGAAUUACUGGGCGUAAAGCGAGCGUAGUCGGUUAUUUAAGUCGGAUGUGAAAUCCCCGGGCUCAACCUGGGAAUUGCAUUUGUGACUGCACGGCUAGAGUGUGUCAGAGGGGGGUAGAAUUCCACGUGUAGCAGUGAAAUGCGUAGAGAUGUGGAGGAAUACCGAUGGCGAAGGCAGCCCCCUGGGAUAACACUGACGCUCAUGCACGAAAGCGUGGGGAGCAAACAGG
Molecule: ribosomal RNA, 253 nt
Filed under: uncultured bacterium
Lineage: Bacteria
Description: partial 16S ribosomal RNA
Rfam family: Bacterial small subunit ribosomal RNA
Source: RNAcentral